Long non-coding RNA from Phyllostomus discolor (pale spear-nosed bat), 429 nucleotides. RefSeq lists it as uncharacterized. The record is from RefSeq and is a predicted model, not a curated record. Lineage: Eukaryota; Metazoa; Chordata; Mammalia; Chiroptera; Phyllostomidae. The transcript is spliced from 2 exons.
UGUGCCCUGACGGGGUUGAACCCACAACCUUGCGGUGCUGAGACGAUGCUCUAACCAACUGAGCUAUCCAGCAAGGGCUGCCUUUUUUCUCUGAGACUAAACACCCUUCACACUCCCACUCUGCUCAGCCCGUCCUACCACCCAGCUCCUUGGCUCCUGGUCACACAGGUCGGAGGUCCCAGCAACCCAGACCGUGGCUAAGCCCCGUUAGAAAGUGAACACAGCUGCUAAUUCAUUCUCAAUAAAUACUCGACCCAGCACUUCUGCCCCUAAGGUCACCGGUAUAGUCGACGUAUCUGAUGCCCAGGCUUGGGUUUUCCUGGUACCACCUGACCCCUGGGAAGCAUGGUGGAAGAGUCACCGAUUCAUUCAAUCAGGGGGUGCACUUAGCACCUGACUGAGUCAAAGUAAACGGCCAGGGUGUCCUGC